RNA transcript from Solanum lycopersicum (tomato), 1620 nucleotides. It is a transcript of the gene named metal tolerance protein C2, with no coding region annotated. The record is from RefSeq and is a predicted model, not a curated record. Lineage: Eukaryota; Viridiplantae; Streptophyta; Magnoliopsida; Solanales; Solanaceae.
UCAUCAUCUGUGCCAUCAUAAUAAAACCCUAUAUUAUCUUUUGGAAUAAUGAAAAUGGAUUGCCUUUUUUUGCAAUAGAAGAGGAAGGACAUGAAUACGCAGUCGUUCCAUCACCGGAAAUUGGAACCCGACUCUCCUAAUCCGUGGAGUGGCGAUUUUGAUUUCGACGGCAGCGAUCGUAGAUUUGCAUUUUCACGGCAAAGUUCCUUUCACCAAUCGGCCGAGUCACAUACGCCUAUAUCAAUAAUCUCCAAUGACUCUAAAAAACCUUUGCUCUCUCGAACUGUUUCCAGCAUUAAUAUUCCUCCUAAUAUCUAUGCAUCCCAUGGUUCCGAUAUUAAAUUUAGGGAUUCCUCGUCUCUGUCAUCGGUUUUCCGAGGUGUUAUGUCUGGGAAUAAGCAGAUGAGGAGAUUGUUUAUGUUGAUUUCACUAAAUGUAGCUUAUUCUACCGCCGAGUUGUGUAUUGGCCUUUUAUCUGGCCGAGUAGGGUUGGUAUCAGACGCAUUUCAUUUGACCUUUGGUUGUGGCCUUUUGACAUUUUCCUUAUUUGCAAUGGAUGCUUCUAGAGAAAAGCCUGAUCGUGUUUACACUUAUGGGUAUAGAAGGUUAGAGGUUUUGUCUGCAUUCACCAAUGCUCUGUUUCUAUUGUUCAUGUCAUUCUCCUUGGCUGUGGAAGCACUUCAUGCCUUUAUACAAGAUGAAUCCGAGCACAAGCAUUACUUGAUCGUCUCAGCUGUCACUAACUUGCUGGUGAAUCUCAUCGGUGUUUGGUUCUUCCGGAAUUAUGCACGUAUUAAUCUUGCAGUCUAUCGGAAAGCUGAAGAUAUGAAUUAUCACUCUGUCUGCUUGCAUGUGCUAGCUGAUUCCAUUCGCAGUGCAGGCCUCAUCCUGGCUUCCUGGUUGUUAACACUUGGAGUAAAGAAUGCCGAAGUCUUAUGUUUGGGACUGGUUUCUGCCACUGUCUUUUUCCUCGUCAUGCCACUUUUUAGAACUACUGGUGGCAUCUUGCUCCAAAUGGCUCCACCAAGGAUCCCAUCUUCAGCCUGGAGCAAAUGCUGGAGGCAGUUUCUCAUGUGCUCAGGUUUCAUCUCGUGAAGACGUUUCAGAAGUAUCUCAAGCUCGUUUCUGGGAACUUGUGCCUGGUCAUGUUAUUGGAUCAAUUGCAUUGCAGGUAAAGGAGGGAGUUGACGAUUGGCCUGUUUUGCAAUAUGUGCAUGACCUAUACCAUGAAUUAGGAAUACAGGACUUGACCGUACAAAUUGACUAUACAUGAUCACCAUCUUGACUAUUUUUCUUUUUUAUCUUUAUUAGUUGAAAGAUGUGAUUUUACUGUUUUACCUCAACUAUUUGGCCCAUUCAUUGUCAGUGCGAGACAAAUUUCUUGGGAGAAGUGCACAAAUAUCCACUUUUAGUGUUGCCGUUUAGCUGAUACUGGCUUCAUAACUUUUUGCUAGUUUACCUUUUUCGGGAAAAAUGUCUGGUAAAGUUUGAUAACUUCAGACAUUUGUGUUUGAACGUAUGGUCUUGGCUGAAGAUGUUUUUACAUGAUAUGUUUGUAUACUUGCAAAUAUAAAAGUUCGGUCAUUUUUAUUGGAGGAAAGACAUGAAUUUCCUUCUGAA